AUAAAGUUUUAUUCUUGCUUAUUUAUUCAUUUUUUAUUUAUGUUAUAUGUAAGUUUUUGUUAAACUAAAUGUUCUAUUUUGCAGUGAUUUAAUUUAAUUAUCAAGUAAUUUUGGAAUUAGUAAUUGAUUUAGUAUUGGCAUAUUUCGUGCCAGCAGCCGCGGUUAUACGAUUAAUACAAUUGAAUAUUUUUGGUUAAAGCAGUUAUUUAUUAUUAGGAUUUAAAUAUUUAUUUUUAAGGUGAAAUUUAAAGUUUUUUUAUGAUUCUUAUUAUUAUUCUGUGAAAUUUAAUUAUUAAACUAGGAUUAGAUACCCUAUUAUUUUGAAUGUUAAUUUUUUACCUGGGUAUUAUUAGUUAUAUUCUUUAAACCCAAAGAAUUUGGCGGUAUCUUAUACCAUUUAGAGGAACCUGUCCCGUAAUUGAUAGUACACGAUUAACUUUACUUAAUUUAUUUAUUUGUAUAUCUCCGUUAUCAGAAAAUCUUUUUAAAGUUGUAAUUUUCUGGAUUUAUAAUUUUAAAUUAUUUCAGGUCAAGGUGCAGUUUAUAGUUAAGUGGAGAUGGGUUACAAUAUAUUUUUUUUAUAUUAUGGAUUUAAUUUUGGAACUUUUUAAUGAAGGUGGAUUUAAUAGUAAUUUGAUUUAUUUAAUUUAAGUGAUAUUGGCUCUUGGGUGUGUACACAUCGCCCGUCACUCUCAUUAUUAAUUUAAUUUAUUUAUUUUUAUUAAUUUAGAUGAGAUAAGUCGUAACAUAGUAGAUGUACUGGAAAGUGUAUCUAGUAAGAU
RNAcentral lists this non-coding RNA (782 nucleotides) under Acrida cinerea. The record is from RNAcentral. Lineage: Eukaryota; Metazoa; Arthropoda; Insecta; Orthoptera; Acrididae.